Sclerotinia nivalis is the source of this 108-nucleotide non-coding RNA. NCBI's taxonomy places the organism in Eukaryota, Fungi, Ascomycota, Leotiomycetes, Helotiales, Sclerotiniaceae. The record is from the annotation of a GenBank genome assembly.
GCGCCUGUGGUUUAGUGGUAAAAUCCAUCGUUGCCAUUUGACAUCUCUUGAUCUUACGAGACGUCAAACAACAUCGAUGGGCCCCGGAUUCGAUUUCCGGCGGGCGCA